Molecule: ribosomal RNA, 440 nt
Filed under: uncultured bacterium
Lineage: Bacteria
Description: partial 16S ribosomal RNA
Rfam family: Bacterial small subunit ribosomal RNA
Source: RNAcentral
CCUACGGGGUGCAGCAGUAGGGAAUAUUGCUCAAUGGGGGAAACCCUGAAGCAGCAACGCCGCGUGGAGGAUGAAGGUUUUCGGAUUGUAAACUCCUUUUGUUAGAGAAGAUAAUGACGGUAUCUAACGAAUAAGCACCGGCUAACUCCGUGCCAGCAGCCGCGGUAAUACGGAGGGUGCAAGCGUUACUCGGAAUCACUGGGCGUAAAGAGCGCGUAGGCGGGAUAGCAAGUCAGAUGUGAAAUCCUAUGGCUUAACCAUAGAACUGCAUUUGAAACUGUUAUUCUAGAGUGUGGGAGAGGUAGGUGGAAUUCUUGGUGUAGGGGUAAAAUCCGUAGAGAUCAAGAGGAAUACUCAUUGCGAAGGCGACCUGCUAGAACAUAACUGACGCUGAUGCGCGAAAGCGUGGGGAGCAAACAGGAUUAGAUACCCCAGUAGUC